CCAGCAGAAGGGGGAGUGUCAGGGGCGGGCUUCUCGUGUUGCGCUAUGGAAAAAUCGAUGGGGAUACUGUAAUAAUGUGAGGGGUGCUUCAUGGAAACAGGUGCUAUCCAGUUAUUGAAAACAUGAUCUAACCGAAAGGGUCGCCAAGGGAGGAAAGAAGACAUACGUUGAGUGCUGACACCCCAUGAUGGCCAGAAGGGAUGGGUGCAUUCCAGAAUGUUAUUAAGAGGAGAGAUGGGCCUGCUGUUCUCUACUUGACAACAGGCAUCUGUGCAAGGGCUGGAUGCCUUGGGAGGCCAAUGGAGAUUCAGACACAGCCCUGACCAUAACUUCCCCUGGAAACUGGUUUCAGACGGUGUUUUAGAGUAUCAAUAACAUAUCUAGCACCAUUUGAAAUCAGUGUUCUUGGUGUAAGGAGGACACCAUUUAAAGCAGGAUGGAUGAAUGCAUACAGUAGGCUUACGGCAGUCUCCUAGUUUCGCACACAUUUGGCUAGGUGGUACUGGUGGGGGUUAACAUUAUUUGUUGACUAUCGCAUGACAAUAAAAACAUUCUAUUCCGUGUCCAAUUAUGUAACAAUUAUGUAAAUGUCACACUGGAAUAUGUUAUUCUUGGAAUCGCAGCGCCAGCACAACACACCUCCCCAGUGACUGACAGCAACCCCAGGAUCACACCUCACCGCCUCACAUCAUGACCCCUCUUGCCAAGGCUGACUGUUUUCUUUUGGUGUUUAGAGUCUCUUCUAUUUCUAGCACCAUUUGAAAUCAGUUACAAUGUAGGGGGAAUAUCAUCUGAACAGAAGAUGAAAAAACACCCUUGGUUCCUCCACACAAGUUCUCUUUGAUCAAGUCACAUCCUUUUUGCUCAAAUCUCAAGUAACCUGAGCUAGCUCGUUGUAGGUAGUCAAAUGUGAUCAAACGCACAUCCUCGGUGCAGGGCCCGAAAGAAGUUGGUAUAAAAGAAAUAGAGCCCGCACACUCAUACUGUAGGCUCCACCAUGUACCUUUAUUAAUAAACAAACAACAUUUAGAUCCUGCGAGGAUCUUUGUCAGGUAAUUUCACCAGAAGUGUACCACACCCAUAUUUAUAGACACAAGACAUGCACCAAUUAUAUGGCUGAGCGAUUAGUGCUUUUUGAGGUCCGUUCGGUUUCGGUUCAACUAAGAAAAAAAUAAUCAUGAUUUUCAAUUUCGAUUUUAUAUAUAUAUAUUUUUUUUACAUUAAAUGCACUAUGCAUUAUGUGGGUUGAAUGAUGUAAAAACAAUACAAGUCCCAUGAUGGUCAUGACUGCCCAUGACUGCGUAUCACUUAUUAACCAUCAGUUAUUCACAUUAUUUUAAAGGAGCAAUCAGCAGUUGCUACGUCCAUUUUGGGACUUAUAAAUAAAUUAUAUGUACCCAUUGAUUCUUGAAGAAUAUAACUUAAAUAUGCCUCAUGAGCUUAGUUUAACUGUCGUACCCCAUCAGAACCCAAAAUAUAAGCUUGUUUUACGCCAACCUUGUAAACAAAGUAUACGUAAACAAACAUUAUAUAGACUAAAAACAUGGUUAAACUAUCAUUUUGAUAUCAUGGAUGGUCAGUCUUGCAUCCAUAGCUUUGUCUAUGCAUUUGAGAGAGGUUACAUGUCUCCUGUCCCAUCCCUAGGCUUCUUACAACAACAACGGGUGAGGAGGAGCUUUGUUUUGUUUCAACUGCUGAUUGCCGUUUUAAUAAAAGAUUUCAGCUGUGUAUAUUACAUUUUUAUUAUUUGAUGACUUUAUUAUUUAAUUCCAGGUAUACAGCUCAUCUAUUUAGCACUGCUGCCUAUGCCUUCCUACAAAAAAAAAUAAAUAAAUAAAA
This 1839-nucleotide long non-coding RNA is filed under the name Salmo salar (Atlantic salmon). RNAcentral describes it as "lncRNA (ENSSSAG00000082166.1)". The stretch from base 708 to 774 matches the Rfam family "mir-29 microRNA precursor family". Lineage: Eukaryota; Metazoa; Chordata; Actinopteri; Salmoniformes; Salmonidae. The record is from RNAcentral.